Molecule: unclassified non-coding RNA, 415 nt
Filed under: uncultured Piloderma
Lineage: Eukaryota; Fungi; Basidiomycota; Agaricomycetes; Atheliales; Atheliaceae
Description: sequence contains ITS2
Rfam family: 5.8S ribosomal RNA (bases 1-155)
Source: RNAcentral
AACUUUCAGCAACGGAUCUCUUGUCUCUCGCAUCGAUGAAGAACGCAGCGAAAUGCGAUAAGUAAUGUGAAUUGCAGAUUUUCAGUGAAUCAUCGAAUCUUUGAACGCACCUUGCGCUCCUUGGUAUUCCGAGGAGCAUGCCUGUUUGAGUGUCAUCACAUUCUCAACUCCAAGGGUUUCACGACCUUUGGGAGAUCGGACUUGGAGGUGCCGGCGGCAUAUAUGGGCAGGUCCUCUAAAAUGCUUCAGCGGAAUUCAACCUUUGGCUUCCGGACGUCAGUGUAAUAAUCAUGUUGCGCUGUCGUUUGUUCCUCAGACUCCGCUUAUAAUGAUCUAUGUACAAAUCAUCAUCAAAUUUGACCUCAAAUCAGGUAGGACUCCCAGCUGAACUUAAGCAUAUCAAUAAGCGGAGGCU